Molecule: long non-coding RNA, 6727 nt
Filed under: Glycine max (soybean)
Lineage: Eukaryota; Viridiplantae; Streptophyta; Magnoliopsida; Fabales; Fabaceae
Description: long non-coding RNA (GMAX_LNC000829)
Source: RNAcentral
CCAGAUCUACUAGAACACCAGUUAUCCAGAAAAGUCAUAAAAUGUGUACCUCUGCCAACAUAAAACCAACACCAGUAACACUUUCACCUCCACCGAACUGCUACCUCUCUCAAUAUUUGCAAAACAACCACCAACGAGAGAAACUGGACCACAAUGACAAAACCAAGCGUUCAACACAAAAUAGCACAACAAUAUUGGUGCCAUUUUAAAGAAAAACAACGAGGGACAUUUUUGUCAUUUUUAAAUUAUGCUGGGUUCUCCAACAAUAAUGCUGGAUGCACCUAACAACCUCCGUCCAUGUUGAAGAUAAGGUCCAACACAUGCAUCACUCAUGACUCAUGAUGAUGUAGUUAUGGCCCACAUAACAACCAUGAAAAACUACUGUGUCAAUAAGAUUUAAUGUUUCAACACUAUAUGUACAAAACGUGAGUUACAUCUAAACAUAAAAAGAGAAUUUCUUUAACUGAAAACUUUUUUUUUAAAUGAAAGCUUAUUUUGAUAAACAUUGAAAAGUUUUCCUUCGGGAAAAAAAUAUGGUAACUUUUGAACCAAUGGAUGAAACUCACUAGAAGGAGAAUAACUCAAAAUUAUACAAGAAAAGUGUAAAUAUGUUUCCUUUUGGGCUUUGUAUAUAUUUUAAAUAAAUGCAUUUUUAAUUUUUAUAUAUUAUAUACAAGUAAAUAUAUUUAUUUUUUCCUUUCAAAGUUAUCGUCAUUAUGGGUGAAAAUUACUUCUGCCUUUUUCUCUUUUCUUUUUAUUGAUUGGGGCCUCACUAACAAACUUGUCUCAUAUACUUUGAGGAGGAUCAAAAGUACCACAAAUUAUCAUUCACACUAAGUGUUUAAAACAGUACCUAAUGUGUAACUAAUAGAAUGUUUGGUAAUUGGAACACAGCUUGUGUGCCAACUUUUAAUUAAUAAUAUUUUCCUUUCACAAAAAAGAAUCUAAUGGAAUGUGUCAACAAAAUCACGAUAUGCAUCAUUCAUAUUUCAUAUAUCAAUAUAAAUCACAACAUGCAUGCCUUCUCGAUUAUAUAUUACAUAAAGCAAUGUUUUGUUUGGAUCAAGUUGAUUGUCUAUCAUUUCACUACUUCCAAAGACAUUUUAUUAAGACAUGCCUGCCUGGAUGUAUUAGUAGGUAAUUAGUAAUUUCAUUGUCAUGUAUAGUUUAUAUUUACAUUUAAAUACGUGUUGUAGCAUCUUUUACUUAAUUAUUCAUUUACCUUUUGUCAACUUUAAGUAUGACCAACUUCCUCGAUACACUUAAAUACAUGCCGAUAUUCUUCUAUAUCAACAAUUUCCGUAUUUCACUAAUGACAUCCAAUAAUAUAUAAGUUACAACAUGCAUUUUGUAAAAACAUAAACCCUUCACGACAUUGAAAUAAUAAAUUAACUAGUAUCGCACCAAGGCAAACAUCUCUUGAUAAGUUCUGAAAUCUGACCUUUGAAGCCAAAACAUUCUUUAAGAAUUGUCAUUUAAAUAGAAUUGAUAUAAUAAUAAUUAUAUACUUACAACAAUACAAUAAUGCAAGACAUGUUUUGAAGGGCCAAGAAAUUUGUGUAAUUAAUGAUAAAUAAUCUUGCAACAAAUUUGUACAAUUAAUCAUUUCUCAGAGCAUUUCAAAUCUCAAUUCUGUGUCAAUAUUCUUGGAUGUCAAACCUCAUACAUCCAGAUUUCAAAAUACAAUCUAUAUGAUCCUGUGACAGACGAACUACAUACAUCCAGAUUGCCAAACCUCAACCAAUCAUACAUAUAUAAGACUUUAAACAAAAUUUAUCAAGCAAAAUCAAUGGUCAAGCUAUUGAUUUAAGGAAAACAGAGUGCACAUGACACAACUACCAUCAAUAUCAAUGGUCAAGCCUAUUGAUUAAGGAAAACAGAGUUUACAAGACACAACUAACUUCAAAAUCAAUGGUCAAGCUACUAAUCUUGUUAACUUGUUUUUCACCAACGUGCCUUUCAACUGUAUGUUAGUUCUAUUAAAAAAGAAAAAACCAAGAAAAACAUAAAAUAAGCCUAACUUUUUUUUUCUCUUAAAAAAGCUAAAUAACUCUGAUUUCAUCUUAUCCGGUUACCUUUCAACCUUUAUAAGGACCAACCAAAAUGGAAACUAUGUAGCAUAUGAAAGUCAAAAUUAGGAUAUCUAACCAAAUAUUUAUUUUUUUCUCUUUUAUCUUCUUAUCCGAUAAUUGAUUAAGGAUCCUAUAGUCUAGUUAGUGUUGUUCUAAUUAUCUUCAUUUCAUUUGUAGAAAGAAAGCAAUAAACAAAAAUGGUUUUUCUAGAAUAGUGGUGUUAGUCGUUGAAAAAAUUUGUUGGAAAGGUAUCAAACUUUCGACGGACCUAUAUCUACAGGUAAACUUCCGUUCGUAAUUUAUACUUUCCGACGAAAUAUAAUCCUUUGAAAAAUUCCUUCGGAAAUUCAAAUAUUUUUUACGAAAUGAAUUCCGUGGAAAAAUUUCUGUCGGUAAUAACGCUUUUUCUUGUAGUGUGCCUUUUGCAUUUUUGGGAAAAGAUUGUUUACUGAAUAAGGCAAUUGGAUGGCUUUGUUGGCUAAGGAUUGCUCCUACUGCAAAGGUGAAUGCAACAGUUUCAAUCUCAAAAGGCAUAUUGAAAUUGGGAAAGCUAAGGACCGAUGCCUAUGUGAUAAUGUCUUUUAAUGUUGUAAAUGCUUGUAUCGUGUGUGUAGACCAUUGAAAUUGAACAUUAGCACAUAGUAGGUCCGGGAGAGGUGCGACAAUGGCUGCAUAUUUACGAAUAAAUCAAUGAUAAAAGCCAAUCAAUCCUAUAAAUUGCGGAGAGAUGAGAGGUUUUGUGGUUGUGGCCAUUAGUGAAUGGCUUACACCUUGGAGGGAUCAGAUUGAACUCCUUGGGCUGAAAUGAUGUGACCUAAAUAUUCAAUUGUUGAAACUACAAAAACACACUUAGUUAACUUAGCAUAAUAAGAAUUAAGUAUAAAUAACUGUAAAACUAAAUGGAGAUGGUGAAGAUGAGUAGCAUAAUUAGCACUAUAAAUGAGAAUGUCAUAAAGAAAACAAAUGCUAAUUUUCUCAAGUAAAGUCGUAGGAGAUCAUUUAUUGCAGAUUGAAGCAUAGAUAGUAUGUUUGUCAGUUCAAAUGGCAUUACUAGGAAUUCGUAAUGGCCAUCGAAAGUCUUGAAAGUGGUUUUGUGUGUGUCUUUAGACCAGACCUGUAUUUGGUGAUAACCCAAGCGCCAAUCUAUCUUUGAAAAAAUUGAUGCACCACCAAGUUCAUCUAGGAGCUCAUCUAUGGUGGGUAUAGGAAAACUGUCUUUGAUAGUGAUUGCAUUAAGAGCACGGUAAUCAACACAAAGUCUCCAUGUACCAUCAUUUUUUUACAAGUAGCACUAGAGAAGAGAGGGGGCUAGUGCUUGGUAUGAUAAGGUCAUCCUUAAGGAGUUCAGUAAUGAGUUUGGUCAUAGUUUCUUUAUGAGCAUGUGGGUAUUUGUAAGGACGUACUUUUAUGGGACCAGUGUUUGGCAAAAGAGGGAUAUGGUGGUCAUGAGGGAGAGAAGGAGGAAUGGUGCGAGUAUUUUCAAACACAAUAAAAAAACUAAAAGAAGGGCUUGGAGGUCUGAGGAGUGAGGAUGUUUAGCCAAAUGAGUGAAAGGAGUAUGUGGUGGGGGUAUGUUUUCCAUAGAAAGAAGAUGAAAGGAAGCCACUGAAUCCAUAUGGAUUAAGUGACACACUUGUUGAAAAAAGGCUAUUUGAGCUAGAGGAGAGGAUUCUCCUUGUAGAGUAACUUGCUUACCAAGGUGGGUAAACUUCAUGUAAGGGACUGAGAAAUCAGAAAGGAUUGGCUCUAGGGUUUGUAACUAUUCAAUUCCUAAGACCAAAUCAUCACCCUGAAUUGGAAGUAGAAAAAAUGGUAGUACAAACGAGUGAGAUUGCAUUGUAAGAAGAACCUGUUUACAUCAUCCAGUGUAGUAAAUUUGGUUUUUAUCACCUAUCAUGACUGGAAACAAAGGUGUAGGUGUAGUUGGAAGCUACAAAUGAAUGGCAAGUCAUAGCUGCAUAAUGUUAUGUGAACCACCGGUGUCAAUGAGAAUACUGAUUGGAUGACCCAAGAUGGAGCCUUGGAAACAUAAAGUUUAUAGAGAUGGGCUUCUGGUGAGGGCUUGGGGUAAUAGUUGAAAAUGGUUGGGUUGGGUAUUUGAAGGAUCUAUAGGUUCCAGGGUAGUGUUAAGGUCAAGCUCAUCUUUUUCAUCACCCUCGACUACAAUCAGGAGAAAAAAUUGCUUAUUUUAGCACUUGUGGCCAAUAUGGAAUUUUUCAUCACAAUAGUAGCAUAAAAUCUUUUGUGCGUUUUUCAUUAUACUAAGAUGGGGUGAGUUUCGUGAAGGGAAUAGUGGAGGCGUUUGGAAUAGGGUUUGAAGCAGGGUUGUGAGAAUGUUUUUGAUUUGCGAAAGGACUGGAGCAAGUAAAGGGGUGGACUUUUGAAGCCUUAACCUUAGCCUCGACAAGUUUGGCAAAACCAAUGGCAUUAGCAAGGGAGGAAGGUUGUAAGAUGCUCAUUUCAGUACAAAUCUCAAGGAUAAGGCCCAGAAUGAAACAAUUUAAAAUUACUUUUGGUGUUAACCCAUGGACCCUAUUGUGAAGCUUCUCAAAUUGAAGUUGAUAGUCACUCACAGUUCCCAAUUGGAGGAGCUUAAACAGCUUGGCUUGGUGAUUUCCAAAUGUUGAAGGCCCAAAAUAGAGCUCAAGUGUGCUAUAAAAGACCCCCAGUCAGAUAGUUGUUGGUUGUGGUGCAUCCACUUGAACCAUAGAAAUUCGUUGAUCCAAAGGAACCUAGUAAAGGGUAAAAAAUUGUUCCGCUUAGGACAACCAGUCAAAUGGUUCAUAUCCAGUAAAGAGUAGAAGGUGUAGUUUUCAGAGCCAUAUAUGGUUUGGGCUAGGGGCAGUGUGUAAGGGAAAAAGGGGUAGGUAUUGUAGUAGGCAUUGGGGAAGUAAAGGGGUUAUGAAGGUGAAAUGGACCCGAUUGAGUAAAAGGAUUUGUGGUUGUGGUGGGCAUAGGUUGGGGAGUAGUGGGUGGUGUGUUUGUUGUGGAAGUUGAGGAUAACUAUGUAAGUUUUUCUAGGAUGGUGAUCAUCACGAUCUGUAAAGACUCAUGAUGAGUAUCAAUGGUAACUAGCAGUUGGUUGUGGCAGUUAUCAUGGCAUAUUUGAGUAGCUUCAAUUUCAACAACCAUGGCUAGCAUGGCCUCCUCCAAAUCUUUGAUAGAUUUCUUAGGCAUUAUCAAAAUGAAAGAACCAAAUAUGUUAGACUAUUAAUCCCACAUUCAAGAUAGGGAUCAAAUCUCCUUUAAAAUAAGAAAACACCUAAAGUGAAUAAGCAUUUCUCAUGCCUCCUUUCAUUAAAAACAAGGAAUAAAUAUGCUACAGGACUCAACAGUCCAAAAUACAACUGUCACUACAGCUAUAAUAGUACAUGAAGCUUCUAGGAAUAAAAUUACUAAAGAGACCCUACUGGUCAUAAAGCUAGGUUUGCACAAAGUCCUUAAACCUAGAAGGUGGUCCAACAUUGCAUUUGGGCUUGAGAGAAAGAGUGCAGCCCAUUGGACUAUCAAGUGGUGAAGGGAUUCACGAAUCAGCGUUGGAAAAUACAUCAUGAGCGAGGCAUUCGCGACGAGGGUACCGGUGGGCCAUAUUCCAGAUACACACACCAAGAACCCAAAGAAGGUGCUUCUAGUUGCAAUGCUCUACCAGACACACCAUAAUAACGAUUGAAUGUGAAAUAAUUUAAUUAUUAACGGUGAAGUUUUUUUUAUUGCUCGCGUAUUGUUUAUGUGACUGCUAAUUGCAAUUAAUUUGCUAAGUUCGACAACAUCACUUAUGCUCGUAGAGUGUUUGACCAAAUGCCCCAAUCAAUUAUAAAACUAACACUAACUUAGAUGCUCCAAAAUCCUUUUUCUUUUUGUUACUAUUUGUCAAAUUCAUGAUGAAGGAGUGUUAAAUCAAUUUGAAAAAUUGUGGCAGCUUUUUGCAAUUUGUGGGGAUUUUAACCCCACAUCCCCCAAAAAAAAUUCAUAAAAAGAGAAUAGUCAACAAUUGGACAAAUGAAGGAGUGACAUGUAGGUAUGAAAAUCAACCGAGUCUAGUUCUGGAUCAAAAAGUAUAUAUUUUAAUUUUAUGAGGACAAGAAACAAACAAAAAAUUUUGCAACCACAAAAUUCAUAUAUUGAUGUUUUACAAGGAUGAAAAUCAUUUUUUUUCAAAGUACAAUUAAUUUUGUAACACUUGAAUUGGGUUUUGCUUUCAAGCUUCGGGUUUAUCAAAUAUGAAAGCGUUUUGGCUUUUGACAGAACUUGGAACAUGUAGAACAAAAGGUUAAAGACUCUACCUUUGCUUAGCUCAAUAGCUAUCAAAUUCAAUCAAAAAUAAAUUAAUAUCAAAAUCAAAACCAAUAAAUAAAUAAUAAAAUAAAAUAGAAAAUUAAAGUGUGAAGUAGGAACCAACCAGAACGAAUGAGGCCUCUGUUGUAAGAACCUUUCCUUAAAGAACCCGAAAGCGCAGCACCUUAAUCACGGACGAGGAUGCUCCGGCCACCGCUGCCAUGUUUUCUAAAUUCUAGUAAUGUGCGUUCUUUUCUUUUGUUGUCUCGAAACAAGGGUGAUCAGGGAGGGAUAUAUAUAUAUAAUAAAUGGAGUGGUCCGGGUCAAAGUUAUGGUGUGGGCCUGUGGGGUAUGGCAUGGAUUCUCUGCCGACAGGUUCA